UGAGGAACAUGACCUUCGGCGGGGGGUAGCCGGCCCAACGGCCGGGUAAUACCGCGUACGACCACAUGGGGACAUCCCUGAGUGGUGAAAGCAGCAAUGCGCCGAUGGAGUGCCUCGCGGCCUAUCAGCUAGUUGGUGAGGUAACGGCUCACCAAGGCGACGACGGGUAGCUGGUCUGAGAGGAUGGCCAGCCACAUUGGGACUGAGACACGGCCCAGACUCCGUAGGGACGG
This 233-nucleotide ribosomal RNA is filed under the name uncultured bacterium. Its description in RNAcentral is "partial 16S ribosomal RNA". It matches the Rfam family "Bacterial small subunit ribosomal RNA", at positions 118 to 348 of the family's 1533-position model. The record is from RNAcentral.